AGAGUUUGAUCCUGGCUCAGAACGAACGCUGGCGGCGUGCCUAACACAUGCAAGUCGAGCGCGAAUGGAGCAAUCCUAGUAGAGCGGCGCACGGGUGCGUAACACGUGGAUAAUCUGCCUGGGUGUCUGGGAUAACCAGUCGAAAGAUUGGCUAAUACCGGAUAAGCCCCCGGGAGCUUCGGCUCUUGAGGGAAAAGGUGGCCUCUGUAUACAAGCUAUCACAUCCAGAUGAGUCCGCGGCCCAUCAGCUAGUUGGCGGGGUAAUGGCCCACCAAGGCAACGACGGGUAGCUGGUCUGAGAGGACGAUCAGCCACACUGGAACUGAGACACGGUCCAGACUCCUACGGGAGGCAGCAGUGGGGAAUUUUGCGCAAUGGGCGAAAGCCUGACGCAGCAACGCCGCGUGUGUGAUGAAGGUCUUUGGAUUGUAAAGCACUUUCGACCGGGACGAAAACCCCUGGGCUAAUACUCCAGGGCUUGACGGUACCGGGAGAAGAAGCACCGGCUAACUCUGUGCCAGCAGCCGCGGUAAUACAGAGGGUGCAAGCGUUGUUCGGAAUUAUUGGGCGUAAAGCGCGUGUAGGCGGCUUUGCAAGUCGGAUGUGAAAGCCCUCGGCUCAACCGAGGAAGUGCGUUCGAAACUGCAGAGCUUGAGUACCGGAGAGGGUGGCGGAAUUCCCCAAGUAGAGGUGAAAUUCGUAGAUAUGGGGAGGAACACCGGUGGCGAAGGCGGCCACCUGGACGGUCACUGACGCUGAGNNGCGAAAGCGUGGGUAGCAAACAGGAUUAGAUACCCUAGUAGUCC
RNAcentral lists this ribosomal RNA (806 nucleotides) under uncultured bacterium. RNAcentral's name for it is "bacterial SSU rRNA". It matches the Rfam family "Bacterial small subunit ribosomal RNA", at positions 8 to 796 of the family's 1533-position model. The record is from RNAcentral.